This 384-nucleotide ribosomal RNA is filed under the name uncultured bacterium. RNAcentral describes it as "bacterial SSU rRNA". It matches the Rfam family "Bacterial small subunit ribosomal RNA", at positions 30 to 416 of the family's 1533-position model. The record is from RNAcentral.
AUUGAACGCUGGCGGCAUGCCUUACACAUGCAAGUCGAACGGCAGCGGGCCUUCGGGUGCCGGCGAGUGGCGAACGGGUGAGUAAUGCAUCGGAACGUGCCAUUGAGUGGGGGAUAACGUAGCGAAAGUUACACUAAUACCGCAUAUUCUGUGAGCAGGAAAGCAGGGGACCGCAAGGCCUUGCGCUCUUUGAGCGGCCGAUGUCAGAUUAGCUAGUUGGUGAGGUAAAGGCUUACCAAGGCGACGAUCUGUAGCGGGUCUGAGAGGAUGAUCCGCCACACUGGAACUGAGACACGGUCCAGACUCCUACGGGAGGCAGCAGUGGGGAAUUUUGGACAAUGGGCGCAAGCCUGAUCCAGCCAUGCCGCGUGAGUGAAGAAGGCC